RNAcentral lists this ribosomal RNA (800 nucleotides) under Pedobacter alluvionis. RNAcentral describes it as "bacterial SSU rRNA". It matches the Rfam family "Bacterial small subunit ribosomal RNA", at positions 82 to 883 of the family's 1533-position model. Lineage: Bacteria; Pseudomonadati; Bacteroidota; Sphingobacteriia; Sphingobacteriales; Sphingobacteriaceae. The record is from RNAcentral.
GCUGGAUUUGAAAGUGGCGCACGGGUGCGUAACGCGUAUGCAACCUACCUUAAUCUGGGGGAUAGCCCGGAGAAAUCCGGAUUAACACCGCAUAAAAACACAGGAUAGCAUUAUCCAAUGUUCAAAUAUUUAUAGGAUUGGGAUGGGCAUGCGUGUCAUUAGCUAGUUGGCGGGGUAACGGCCCACCAAGGCGACGAUGACUAGGGGAUCUGAGAGGAUGGCCCCCCACACUGGUACUGAGACACGGACCAGACUCCUACGGGAGGCAGCAGUAAGGAAUAUUGGUCAAUGGAGGCAACUCUGAACCAGCCAUGCCGCGUGCAGGAAGACUGCCCUAUGGGUUGUAAACUGCUUUUAUCCGGGAAUAAACCUCUUUACGUGUAGAGAGCUGAAUGUACCGGAAGAAUAAGGAUCGGCUAACUCCGUGCCAGCAGCCGCGGUAAUACGGAGGAUCCAAGCGUUAUCCGGAUUUAUUGGGUUUAAAGGGUGCGUAGGCGGCCUGUUAAGUCAGGGGUGAAAGACGGUAGCUCAACUAUCGCAGUGCCCUUGAUACUGAUGGGCUUGAAUGGACUAGAGGUAGGCGGAAUGAGACAAGUAGCGGUGAAAUGCAUAGAUAUGUCUCAGAACACCGAUUGCGAAGGCAGCUUACUAUGGUCUUAUUGACGCUGAGGCACGAAAGCGUGGGGAUCAAACAGGAUUAGAUACCCUGGUAGUCCACGCCCUAAACGAUGAACACUCGCUGUUGGCGAUACACAGUCAGCGGCUAAGCGAAAGCGUUAAGUGUUCCACCUGGGGAGUAC